RNAcentral lists this ribosomal RNA (440 nucleotides) under uncultured bacterium. RNAcentral's name for it is "partial 16S ribosomal RNA". It matches the Rfam family "Bacterial small subunit ribosomal RNA", at positions 338 to 795 of the family's 1533-position model. The record is from RNAcentral.
CCUACGGGAGGCAGCAGUGGGGAAUAUUGGACAAUGGGGGGAACCCUGAUCCAGCGACGCCGCGUGAGUGAAGAAGUAUUUCGGUAUGUAAAGCUCUAUCAGCAGGGAAGAAAAUGACGGUACCUGUCUAAGAAGCCCCGGCUAACUACGGGCCAGCAGCCGCGGUAAUAAGUAGGGGGCAAGCGUUAUCCGGAUUUACUGGGUGUAAAGGGAGCGUAGACGGGGCAGCAAGUCUGAUGUGAAAGGUCCGGGCCCAACCCCGGGACUGCAUUGGAAACCGUUGAGCUGGAGUACAGGAGAGGUAAGCGGAAUUCCUAGUGUAGCGGUGAAAUGCGUAGAUAUUAGGAGGAACACCAGUGGCGAAGGCGGCUUACUGGACUGUAACUGACGUUGAGGCUCGAAAGCGUGGGGAGCAAACAGGAUUAGAUACCCUAGUAGUC